UGGGUAACCUGCCUCAAAGAGGGGAAUAGCCUCCUGAAAGGGAGAUUAAUACCGCAUAAUAUGUUUAAGUCGCAUGACUUUAACAUCAAAGGAUUUUCUUUUAGAAAUUCCACUUUGAGAUGGACCCGCGGCGCAUUAGCUAGUUGGUGAGGUAACGGCUCACCAAGGCAACGAUGCGUAGCCGACCUGAGAGGGUNAUCGGCCANAUUGGAGCUGAGGCACGGUCCAGAUCCGUACGGGG
RNAcentral lists this ribosomal RNA (241 nucleotides) under uncultured bacterium. Its description in RNAcentral is "partial 16S ribosomal RNA". It matches the Rfam family "Bacterial small subunit ribosomal RNA", at positions 118 to 346 of the family's 1533-position model. The record is from RNAcentral.